This 959-nucleotide long non-coding RNA is filed under the name Salvator merianae (Argentine black and white tegu). RNAcentral's name for it is "lncRNA (ENSSMRG00000000078.1)". The record is from RNAcentral. Lineage: Eukaryota; Metazoa; Chordata; Lepidosauria; Squamata; Teiidae.
CCCUUUUCCCUUCCCAAUAAGUAAAUACAACAGGCUACGCGUUUCUAUUAUUGUAAUUUAUUGCAUUGUGUUGGGAAGCCUUAACUCCAUGGUAUCAAAGAUGAUCCAGCACCUGAAAGGAAUCUCAAAAAAUGAACUGAAAGAUGGUUCAGGAGAAUCAAAGGGAGGUUUCCAAUCGCCCCUUNCCCCUUAAACCCCACUACUCUUGCAGUCCUGAUCCAUUCAGCUCGCGGAGGACUACACAGCCCCUGCCAAUAACGACUCAAGUACAUUGGAAAACAUCGCGUUUCUUCCCACCUGUAAUUUUCUCCCACAAUCACCUGUAAUAAACUUGGAGGAGAAUGUAAGCAGGAGGCGCUAUAGCUCAGCGGUAGAGCAAUCUACCGGGAAAGAAGAGGGUCUCCGGUUCGAGCCCCAGCCUCUCCGUGGCAGUAGACAAUAACACACCCCACUUCUGUAUCUCUGCCGAGAAAACUGCAUAGAACUGCCCUUGGAGGUGCCUAUGCAAUCAACCAGGAGUCGUCCAGGACUCGGUGGUACCCAACAACAACAAAAAAUCCCGAGGGCGCCUUGUUGGCGUGCAUCAGCAACUUUACCCAAAGAUGCAUCGCGCCGCAGCACUCGGGAAUCAUGGACUCUACCGUGGCCCUCCUGGCAAAAAACUGCGANGGCUAUUCUCCGCCGAACAAUGGAUCUCAGGANAUUCAAGUCACUUUUAACGCUUUCAGAAAGUGCCAGCGGCAGAGAAAAAAUAAGCCAUGCGGAAAUUCCAUAAUUUCGGAACUCAAAGAAAUGUGGGACAGUUACCUCAGAAGUAUAUCACUUUAAAGUUUGAAAGUGUACUAGAUAGCAUACAUUUUUUAAGUUUUAUGUUUUUGUACUGAUAUUUAUUCUGUGUCUCUUUAAAAUGUAUGUCCUUAAAUGAUUUUAUACAAAAAUAAAUACAUCUACAUUUAAAU